This is a long non-coding RNA of Astatotilapia calliptera (eastern happy), 1185 nucleotides long. The record is from Ensembl. Lineage: Eukaryota; Metazoa; Chordata; Actinopteri; Cichliformes; Cichlidae.
GGGAGAUGUUUUUCCCGACCACUGUAUUUAAAGAUAAUGGGAAGCAAACAUGGUUGCUUCCGCAACCCAUAGACCGCCUCCUAUGUAUUUUUUAUAGAUUAAUUACAUAACUAUGAGAGUGUCUUAGUUAUUCUGGAAGAUGUAAUUACAGCCUAUUCUAUGAAUACUUAUGAGUAUGGUAUUCUUUCUUUUUUUAUACAUAAGGAACAGACAAAUACAGUUGUGACAAAUAUAGCAGUCCCAGCUGACAGCAACAUCAUUUCUGUGUGAACUUGGGUCCUAUUUGGAAGAUGUUCAUAAAAAUAUUCACAUAAAUACACAUAAACUGGGCUGUUAGGAUUAUUUCAAAAUUCAGGGGAAUCAGGAUAAAUGUUUUUUUCUACACACUGCAGCAUAUUUCUGUAUAUUGCAGCGUCAAUGUUUUUGUUUUUUUUCCUACUUUACUGGCAUCCUGGGUGCUAUCGACUGCGAGCCCACAGACUAUUUAUAGCGUCACUGUGAAAAGCAUUGGCAUACUGUUGAAUGAUUUCAUUUUCAGUUCUGUCAGAGAGCCAGCUCUCUCUCAUAUAAAUCCAUUCUCUUUCUUACGAGAGGUUGAAUGUACAUUCCUGACCAAUACAAUAUGACAAUGACAAUGUCAGAUACAAUGGCAUUCACUGUAAGGCCUUAGACUGGUUAAACUGUUAGGGCCGUUGAAUUUUUCUGUGCGUUUUCAUCAGUUCGAAGCCAUCAGUUUACCUUAUGCUUAUAGGCUGGAUCAGGUUAUCUGAAUCAACCCUUAGUCAUGCUGCUGUCAGCUCAUAUUGCUGUAGAACGUCACGUGAAGCACUGAGCACCUCUUCACUCCCUUUAUGUUUAUACAUCACAUUACAUUUUUUGUCUUUUUUCUCCCUUGGUGUGUUAUUUCUCUGUCUCCCUAUGUUAUCUUUGUCUUUUUUCUUCUCUUUUGUUUCCACUUCACCCCUAUGGCUUCUCCUCCCUGAGCCUGGUUCUGCUGGAGGUUUCUUCCUGUUAAAGGGAGUUUUUCCUUCCUACUGUUUCAAAGUGCUUGUAGUUUUUACCUCACAGCAUAAAGCACCUUGAGGCGACUGUUGUUGUGAUUUGGUGCUAUAUAAGUAAACCUGACUUGAACUGAAUUUUUAUCAAACAUCAACAGGGUGGUAGCCUGAAAUCCCAAGAUUAUAG